Molecule: long non-coding RNA, 349 nt
Filed under: Macaca mulatta (Rhesus monkey)
Lineage: Eukaryota; Metazoa; Chordata; Mammalia; Primates; Cercopithecidae
Description: lncRNA (ENSMMUG00000056622.1)
Source: RNAcentral
GUUAGAAUGCUGAUAUUGCAUUGAUCUUGUCAUAAUGACCUGUAUGUCUCACUCUGUUCCUUCUAUCAUGCUUCCCUGGCCAGAUGUGAUAUGUUCCUCCUCCUGGUCAUCCCUACCCACCUGGGGUCAUAUCCACCAUCGCCAUCAUUACAGGAGCAACAAGAACAGUGAUAAAAGAUGAAAACCAAGACCCAGAGCGGAGACAAAUUGAAAAUUGAAAAAGAGAGAAGGAAUGGCAGACAUAUCAGUGGAGAAUGAAACAGUCAGCAGUGGCUGAAUUAACUUCUGACCAGAAGACAAGCGACAAAAGAAAUUUGUCACAGUAGUAUUAUAACUGAUAUGUUUUCAG